Molecule: long non-coding RNA, 453 nt
Filed under: Homo sapiens (human)
Lineage: Eukaryota; Metazoa; Chordata; Mammalia; Primates; Hominidae
Description: non-protein coding lnc-UPB1-2:1
Source: RNAcentral
CUCAACCCCAACUCUGCAUGCUCUGAGCAGCCAGCUCCACCCAGCACUCACCAUCCCACCCACUUUCGUCUCUCCUGCUUCAACAUCUCCCUCAUUCUGUUGUGUCUCCUGUAGUUGCAUUUGUUGCAGUUCACUUGAGCUGAGCCCCGAGGCCCUUCUACCUCUAGUACUGCCUGUCCAGGACAGGCACAAGCAUCCAGGCCUGAACGGGAUGGAUAUGGCCCUAGAAAACAGAAAACAGGAUUCCAGUCCCAGCUAAACUGGGUAUGGCAAGACAAGGACCUGGGUUCCCAUGUGCUCAUGCUGAGAACUUGAGAAGGGACAGGAAUUCUGCAGAUCAACACAGCUUCAUAAAGGCCAGCCAGGGGCUACCACCAUUUUGCAGUGAGAAUAAUGUUUAUUGAGAAUGGCUCAUUACAAACAAAAUAUAUAUAAAAUCUCUGCAAUGCAAAA